RNAcentral lists this ribosomal RNA (229 nucleotides) under uncultured bacterium. RNAcentral describes it as "partial 16S ribosomal RNA". It matches the Rfam family "Bacterial small subunit ribosomal RNA", at positions 568 to 796 of the family's 1533-position model. The record is from RNAcentral.
UUCGUAGGCGGAAUUAUAAGUCAGUGGUGAAAUCCUGCAGCUUAACUGUAGAACUGCCAUUGAUACUGUAAUUCUUGAGUGUAGUUGAGGUGGGCGGAAUGUGUCAUGUAGCGGUGAAAUGCAUAGAUAUGACACAGAACGCCGAUAGUGAAGACAGCUCACCAAACUAUUACUGACGCUGAGGAACGAAAGCGUGGGGAGCGAACAGGAUUAGAUACCCUGGUAGUCC